Non-coding RNA from Tauraco erythrolophus (red-crested turaco), 351 nucleotides. Lineage: Eukaryota; Metazoa; Chordata; Aves; Musophagiformes; Musophagidae. The record is from RefSeq and is a predicted model, not a curated record.
CUGGAGCUGAAUGGCAUAGAGCCGGCACAAGAGACAGACUGUGAUGUAGAUUCAGUGUUUCUCAUGGAAAUCAUGGAAAUUAAUGAGAAAUUAGCAGACCCUAAAAGUGAGGAGAUCCUUGAAGAAAUUGAAACUUUAAUUAAAGUUAAACAAGAAGAACUGACCAAAGAGGUGACUGCAGCUUUUGAAAGAGAUGAUCUUCAGGAAGCUAAGAAGCUUUUAGCCAAAAUGAAAUAUUUUGCAAACUUAGAGGAUAAACUAAAGAACAAGAAGAUCCCUUCCUGAUACUGCCUCCUUUACCAUUAAGAGUUAAUGUUGUUUUCAAUUAAACAGCUGAUUUAGUUACCAAAA